Molecule: transfer RNA, 72 nt
Filed under: Bacteroidota bacterium
Lineage: Bacteria; Pseudomonadati; Bacteroidota
Description: tRNA-Thr
Rfam family: tRNA
About the family: Transfer RNA (tRNA) molecules are approximately 80 nucleotides in length. Their secondary structure includes four short double-helical elements and three loops (D, anti-codon, and T loops). Further hydrogen bonds mediate the characteristic L-shaped molecular structure. tRNAs have two regions of fundamental functional importance: the anti-codon, which is responsible for specific mRNA codon recognition, and the 3' end, to which the tRNAs corresponding amino acid is attached (by aminoacyl-tRNA synthetases). tRNAs cope with the degeneracy of the genetic code in two manners: having more than one tRNA (with a specific anti-codon) for a particular amino acid; and 'wobble' base-pairing, i.e. permitting non-standard base-pairing at the 3rd anti-codon position.
Source: RNAcentral
GCCGAGAUAGCUCAGAGGUAGAGCAGCUGAUUCGUAAUCAGCAGGUCGUGGGUUCAACUCCCAUUCUCGGCU